UACAUGGGGGGGCAAGCGUUGUUCGGAAUUACUGGGCGUAAAGGGCUCGUAGGCGGCCAACUAAGUCAGACGUGAAAUCCCUCGGCUUAACCGGGGAACUGCGUCUGAGACUGGAUGGCUUGAAUCCGGGAGAGGGAUGUGGAAUUCCAGGUGUAGCGGUGAAAUGCGUAGAUAUCUGGAGGAACACCGGUGGCGAAGGCGGCGUUCUGGACUGCAACUGACACUGAGGCGCGAAAGCUAGGGGAGCGAACGGG
This 254-nucleotide ribosomal RNA is filed under the name uncultured bacterium. RNAcentral's name for it is "partial 16S ribosomal RNA". It matches the Rfam family "Bacterial small subunit ribosomal RNA", at positions 524 to 776 of the family's 1533-position model. The record is from RNAcentral.